GCAACAAGGAGUGCAAUCGCAAAUCGAAAGCAAGUUACACGCACACGUACGCUUGCGCAAAUGAGCAGAUUCCAACUGUACGAAGGUUAUAGCACAUAUUUCAAGAGAGCGAUAGCUGUGCCCUUUCUAGCUUCAGCCAAGGUCUGACAGAACGAUUCUCCCCAGAAAACCGAUGCAUGAGGUCCAUUAUGGGACUUCUUCCGAGCGUACUCCUGACUAACGCAGAGGCUCUUGACGAAUAGAUGCAGGAGCUGAUGUUCUGGGAAGCAGAUCUUCCUUCACCAGAAAACAUAAAGGCAGAGAUCCAGAGCUGGACAAGAUUUUUUUUUCAAAACAUGGACAAAGCUCAGCUUCCUGAGAACUUGGUUGACUGCCUGGGACAUGCAGAUGAGGACUUUUUUUCCUAACAGCAGGACGCUGAUCAUUCUGGGCUGCACGUCUCCAGUCACCAGCUGCGAGGCUGAACGUUCUUUUCGGCACUCAAGAAGAGUAAAGACAUAUCUUCGAUCGACUAAGGGGGAAGAGAGGCUUGCUGGACUCACCCUCAUGGCUAUCCACUACCAGGCAACCCUGCAGCUAAUUAAGUUCCAGCAAAAUAGUUCAGGGAUUUGUACAGAAACAUCCAAGGCGUCUCAUCUGCCAGUCCAUCAUAUUUGACUGAGAUUUGCCAGUGAGUAUCAGCGACAAGCUGUUCAUAAUAAAAGUAUUAGGCUAACAGUGCUUAUUCCAAGGUUAACUGACCUUACAUUGCAGGAAAAUGCAACUUAAUUUUACAAAUUUUCAUGGGGGUUAAUUUGGCAACGACCU
Lytechinus variegatus (green sea urchin) is the source of this 807-nucleotide long non-coding RNA. RefSeq lists it as uncharacterized. The record is from RefSeq and is a predicted model, not a curated record. The transcript has 3 exons. Lineage: Eukaryota; Metazoa; Echinodermata; Echinoidea; Temnopleuroida; Toxopneustidae.